UUCUGCCCAAGCGGGGGAAGGAUGAGAAGCUUCGACCAAGGUUCGACUCGAGCGCCAACGAGAGAGCGUGGCCGCAGGCAACGACCCGAAGGGCGAAGCGCG
This 102-nucleotide small RNA is filed under the name Escherichia coli. RNAcentral's name for it is "partial RtT sRNA". It matches the Rfam family "RtT RNA", at positions 1 to 100 of the family's 130-position model. From Rfam's summary of the family: This family represents a bacterial cis-regulatory element known as RtT RNA. The record is from RNAcentral. Lineage: Bacteria; Pseudomonadati; Pseudomonadota; Gammaproteobacteria; Enterobacterales; Enterobacteriaceae.